AACCAUAGAAACCUGCGGAGUACCUGCGGAAGGAUCAUUACCGAGUGAGGGCCCUCCGGGUCCAACCUCCCACCCGUGUUUAACGAACCUUGCUGCUUCGGCGGGCCCGCCUCACGGCCGCCGGGGGGCACCCCGCCCCCGGGCCCGCGCCCGCCGAAGACACCUGUGAACGCUGUCUGAAGUUGCAGUCUGAGACACUAGCUCAAUCAGUUAAAACUUUCAACAAUGGAUCUCAGAUCG
Molecule: unclassified non-coding RNA, 240 nt
Filed under: soil metagenome
Description: partial contains 5.8S ribosomal RNA, internal transcribed spacer 2, and large subunit ribosomal RNA
Source: RNAcentral